GUGGAUUAGAUACCCUAGUAGUCCACGCCGUAAACGAUGGAUGCUAGCCGUCGGCAAGCUUGCUUGUCGGUGGCGCAGCUAACGCAUUAAGCAUCCCGCCUGGGGAGUACGGCCGCAAGGUUAAAACUCAAAGGAAUUGACGGGGGCCCGCACAAGCGGUGGAGCAUGUGGUUUAAUUCGACGCAACGCGAAGAACCUUACCAGCCCUUGACAUGUCCGGUCGGUUUCCAGAGAUGGAUUCCUCCUAGCAAUAGGUCGGAACACAGGUGCUGCACGGUCGUCGACAACU
This 289-nucleotide ribosomal RNA is filed under the name uncultured bacterium. RNAcentral describes it as "partial 16S ribosomal RNA". It matches the Rfam family "Bacterial small subunit ribosomal RNA", at positions 773 to 1060 of the family's 1533-position model. The record is from RNAcentral.